This is a long non-coding RNA of Emys orbicularis (European pond turtle), 500 nucleotides long. RefSeq lists it as uncharacterized. The record is from RefSeq and is a predicted model, not a curated record. Lineage: Eukaryota; Metazoa; Chordata; Testudines; Emydidae. The transcript is spliced from 3 exons.
CAUUCCUCCUGAGAUACCAUGAGUGCAACAUGCUGCACCCUGAGCAGCAGCAGCAGAGGCAGCGGGUAGACAAUUGACAGUCUUGUAUUGUGGUUUUUACCCUGUACAGCUCAUCAUGCACGAGGCGGAAUUUGAGGCCACUUCAGUGCCCAGUUUCUGAGACCCAGAUGUGAGGCAGUUGGACAGCACCUGACCAGUGUGACAGGCCGACAUAAAUAACUGAGGCUAACGCCUGGCUGCAAUGGCAGGACACAGGCAACACACAAUGUACUGCCAAGCACAGAAAGCAGAGCAAUGUGUUUCCUCUCUCUGAGCUACAGCAGCCUGCAGCGUUCGUAUAACUGCUCAGGGCGUACGCUGCAGGCUCCAGUGCAGUGUGGAAGCUGACUGGGUCUCUUUAAGGUCUUGUUUGAUGUGUCUUUUGAAUUGUUUUGAAUUGUUUCAUUAUGAUGUACGGUGCUGGGAUAGGAGGGGGUUAAUCAAUAAAAUGUUUUAUUUUU